Molecule: ribosomal RNA, 751 nt
Filed under: uncultured cyanobacterium
Lineage: Bacteria; Bacillati; Cyanobacteriota
Description: bacterial SSU rRNA
Rfam family: Bacterial small subunit ribosomal RNA
Source: RNAcentral
AUGCAAGUCGUACGAGAGUUUUUAACUCAAGUGGCGGACGGGUGAGUAACACGUGAGAAUUUACCUUUAGGAGGGGGAUAACAAUUGGAAACGAUUGCUAAUACCCCAUAUGCUUUUUUAAGUGAAAUGGAUUUUUCCGCCUAAAGAAAAGCUCGCGGCUGAUUAGCUAGUUGGUAAGGUAAUGGCUUACCAAGGCGACGAUCAGUAUCUGGUUUGAGAGGACGAUCAGACACACUGGAACUGAGACACGGUCCAGACUCCUACGGGAGGCAGCAGUGGGGAAUUUUCCGCAAUGGGCGAAAGCCUGACGGAGCAAUACCGCGUGAGGGAAGAAAGCCUACUGGGUUGUAAACCUCUUUUUUCAGGGAGGAAAAAAAUGACGUGUACCUGAAGAAUAAGCAUCGGCUAACUCCGUGCCAGCAGCCGCGGUAAGACGGAGGAUGCAAGUGUUAUCCGGAAUUACUGGGCGUAAAGCGUCUGUAGGUUGUUUAAUAAGUCAACUGUUAAAUCUUGAGGCUUAACUUCAAAACAGCAGUCGAAACUAUUAGACUAGAGUAUAGUAGGGGUAAAGGGAAUUUCCAGUGGAGCGGUGAAAUGCGUAGAUAUUGGAAAGAACACCGAUGGCGAAAGCACUCUACUGGGCUAUUACUGACACUCAGAGACGAAAGCUAGGGUAGCAAAUGGGAUUAGAUACCCCAGUAGUCCUAGCUGUAAACAAUGGAUACUAGAUGUUGAACAGAUCGACCUGUGC